AGAUGAUGAGAUCACCUAAAAUAGCUGGAAUUACCGGCAGAUUGCUAGUGGUGAGCCUAUGGAUUUCUGAAG
Small nucleolar RNA from Meriones unguiculatus (Mongolian gerbil), 72 nucleotides. Lineage: Eukaryota; Metazoa; Chordata; Mammalia; Rodentia; Muridae. The record is from Ensembl.